GACUGAAGACGUGAAAAUGGCCUCCUGACACGUUUUCGGCCAUGAAAUCGUGUGCUAUAGGUCACGGUUAGCCCAGAAACGGCCACACCGGCAACCAGGGUCGAAAUUGUGGGGGAUAGACCGAAGACGUGAAAAUAGCCUCCGGACUCAUUUUCGGCCAUGAAAUCGUGUGCUAUAGGUGACGAUGAGCCCCAAAACGGCCACACCGGCAACUGGGGUCGAAAACAUGGGGGAUGGACCCAAGCUGUG
Molecule: long non-coding RNA, 249 nt
Filed under: Setaria viridis
Lineage: Eukaryota; Viridiplantae; Streptophyta; Magnoliopsida; Poales; Poaceae
Description: long non-coding RNA (SVIR_LNC005097)
Source: RNAcentral